UACGGGGGGAGCAAGCGUUGUUCGGAUUUACUGGGCGUAAAGGGCCAGUAGGCGGCCAACUAAGUCGGAUGUGAAAUCCCCAGGCUUAACCUGGGAACUGCAUCCGAUACUGGAUGGCUUGAAUUCGGGAGAGGGAUGCAGAAUUCCAGGUGUAGCGGUGAAAUGCGUAGAUAUCUGGAGGAAUACCGGUGGCGAAGGCGGCAUCCUGGACCGACAUUGACGCUGAACGGCGAAAGCUAGGGGAGCAAACGGG
Molecule: ribosomal RNA, 253 nt
Filed under: uncultured bacterium
Lineage: Bacteria
Description: partial 16S ribosomal RNA
Rfam family: Bacterial small subunit ribosomal RNA
Source: RNAcentral